RNAcentral lists this long non-coding RNA (360 nucleotides) under Gallus gallus (chicken). Lineage: Eukaryota; Metazoa; Chordata; Aves; Galliformes; Phasianidae. The record is from RNAcentral.
CCGCCGGGCAGCUCCCUGCGGGCCCCCAGCUGGGAGCUGUCAUUGAACCGUCACUAAGGCUGGGAAAGACCUCUAAGGUCACCUAGGCCAACUGUCAACCCAUCACCACCACGUCCACAAGUUCUUCUACGCUUCUAGGGAUGGUGAUAUUAGAGAGGGAUGAGUUUUCCCCUGAGCCUUCUCUUCUCCAGACUGCGCAAUCCCGGUUCCCUCAGCCGUUCCUCAUAAGAUUUAUGCUCCAGACCCCACACCAGCUUUGCUGCCCUUCUCUGGACACUCUCCAGUGACUUGAUGUCUUCCUUGAAGUGAAGGACCCCAAACUGAACACAGUACUUGAGGUGCAGCUUCAUCAGUUCCAAG